This is a long non-coding RNA of Prinia subflava (tawny-flanked prinia), 7319 nucleotides long. RefSeq lists it as uncharacterized. Lineage: Eukaryota; Metazoa; Chordata; Aves; Passeriformes; Cisticolidae. The transcript has 2 exons. The record is from RefSeq and is a predicted model, not a curated record.
UACUCUUUAGUGAUGAGUAAGUUUAUCCAGGCAGGUAAAAUAUUAGUCAUUCAUCAACCACUUCAACAGACUCAAUAAUAUGAUUUGAAUAUGGUCAGAUACCAGUUGUAACAGGAGCAAUAAACUGAACAGGGUACUGAAGGUCUUUGGAGGUGUUUCAAAGAAUCACAGAAAAUGCUGAGUUGGGAGGGACCCCAAAAAUCAAGUCUAGCUCCUAGUCCCAAGAAACCCUGUAUUGUUCAAAUAUUCCUUGAGUUCUGCCAGGCUGAUGCUGUGACCACUGCCCUGGGGAGCCUGUUCAGUGCCCAGCCACCCUCUGGGGGAAGAACAUUUUCCUGAUAUCCAACCUAAACCUGCCCUGACACUGCUUCAGGCCAUUCCCUGGGGUCCUGUCAGUGUCACCAUAGAGCAGAGAUCAGUGCCUGCCCCUGCUCUUCCCCUCAGGAGGAAGCUGGACCUGCACUGAGGUCUCCCCUCAGUGUCCUCUUCUCCAGGCUGGACAGACCACGUGCCCUCAGCAUCAUCCCUGGGCAUGAUGCCACCUGCAAAAACCAUCAACUGCUGUGCUGAGGCAAAGCCUUCCCAAGAGCUAAGCCACCACAGGGUCAUGCAGCUGCUCCAGACAUUUGGGGUCAUAAAUCAGAGUUAGUUGCUCACAGCACUAAUAAUUAUUACCUAAGGAUGACAUCACUAAGUCAGAGAGGAUGAUGUCUAUUCUGGGAAUUUACAUUCGGGGAGUGCUCGAGGUCUCUCGAGGUAGACUGUUGUCAACACCCACACAAAUGAACCUGAAAAAACUGCCUAGAAUUCUAAAAAAUAACGGUUUUGGUGUGAAAAUAAAGCUGGCAGAAACAGAGUGGAAGCUGCAGCCACUGAGGAUUUAAAGACAACAGGCAGAGCCAAGGCAGAGCAAAAAUUCCAAAAGAGGAGUGCACAUCUCUCCUGGUUUAGGGCAAAUUUGGGAGGAAACCUCCAAACAGGAUCCCUCUGGAAAGCAAACCCAAAAGGCCCCUCGCCUCAGCCAGUCCUGGAAAAGAACUUCCUCAGAGAAAAGUGGAAAAAACUAUUUAUUUAACGAACAAAAUGCCCACAAGCAUAAAGAAUGAAUAAUAUGAAACAAUAAAACCUCUUGCUGCUCCAAAGAGAGAUGGCAAACCUGAGAAAAUCCUUGCCUGAGCUCACUCAGUUUUUAUCAGUCCCAGCCCCUCUGGAGGUCCAGGCCCGGUGGGCCACAGGUGCCAGCCCCCGGUGCUCCUCUGGGGUUUUCAGUCUUGAGCAGGUUUAAACAGUCCCAAGAAAAAGGAAAAAAACAGUCCAGGGAACUUCUCUGCCCUAGCUAGCUAAACUAACUAAAAAGCAAAAAAGAUCUCUGUCCCAGCUGCCGGUCUGUGCUUCAGAUGAACAGAGUCCGGAGAGGAAUGUGCAGGAGGAGAGCUGCUCUCAAAACAAACCUGGCACUUCUUUGUUCCUGCUUUGCUCUCAGAGCCAGUCUAAAGGCACAGAACUCGACACACAGCACAGACAGAACAGAUAAUUAGGAUACAAGCAUCAUAAAUUCACCCUAGGACAAACAGAACAGAAGUGUGCAGGACCUGCAGAGAUGUGCCUGCAAGAAGGGACCUUCCUCUGCUCCCCCUCAGUGUCCAUGGGCCUCAUUUUCAGCCUCAGAGAGAAAAACCCUUGGAUGAAGACUCACCCUUGGAAUCUGCAGCUCUGCACACCCUCACCGCCCUGCAGCGAGCGCUAAACAGGUGCUGUUCCCAAAUGACUGCGGGUAGGGCAUGGAUCCUUCUACAGUGUCACACACCUCCUCUGGCAAAGCUCGAGUUCAAAAGAAAGAUUUCAGACAAGGUGCUAAACUGAAGUGAAAAAGACUAUGGAAGCUGAAAUCUUUCUCUGCUGAGAGCAGCCAAAUCACACAGAGCUGCCACAGGUCUCUGUGAGAGUUCCUGGCUUUACUAAAGCUUGAAAACUCCACCAGGAUGCCACUAAACAGCUUGGAGAACAGAAAAUAAAACACAAGAACCAAACCUGGCUCCCUGUGUUAAAACCCAGGCAGAAUGAUGAUCUCCAGAGCCAGAUUCAGUUUCCAAGAGGUUGCCCUCUGUUAUAGACACAUAUUAUAUAAAGCUGGCUUUUCACAAAUAUUAAAUGCUCUAUGUAUAACAUGGGAAGGUUUUGCUGUAUUGUUUUUUACUUCUGUUAUUAAUGAAACUUAGAAAUAAGUAGUGUGAUGGAUAUGUGUAUUCCUUAGGCUGUGGAGUGAUAUUGAAGUAAAGACUUUUUUUUUUACCAUCUAAACCGACUAAACCAGAAGGAUGGAGAAAAUCCCCUACAUUCCUGAAUUAUCUCAUCCAAAUGAAUAUUACUGACCAAAGCUUCAGGAAAGGAGUUUAUUGAACCUCUGUUAUCAGUAUCUUAUCCAGAUGAAGAUGUCAAAAACUCCAGGAUCAGAUGGAAUGGAGCCACACACAGGUGGAUCUACCAAAUAAAAUGGUUGGAGGGGAGUUGAAACUAAACAAAGAAAUUCACACUCAAGAGGAAUUUUGAAUCAGGCAUGUAAAUUUAUAAAUAUGGAACAGGCUGGUACUUUUAAGGACUGAGCCUUUUCUUAGCAGGUGUGCUCUUGGCCGAAUGCCAAGUCACCCGGCCAUAUAUAUUUUGCUUUUCUGUCUCCUAGUUAUCUUUUUAUUGUUUUAUUAAACUUCUAAGUUCUUCUAAAAAGUGUAUCUCGUUUUUCACACCCUCACUGCCAGACUGAGCCCAAAAAGGAAAAUUCACUACUCUGGGGUGAUGGCUGCUAAACUUUCAUUGGGAGCAAAGGUGAGAAUCUCAGAAGCUCUCAGGUGAGUUUUCCAAGCAGCACUCUGCCAGAAACAAUAGUCCUCUUUGGGCAGAAGAGUCCAUUAUUACUCUGAAGGCUUUUUUUCCCUCAUCUGAGCCUUCUUCUAAAGUGUUUGACAACUGCCAAUGUUGGUACAUGAACCUGAGCUGCCCAGCUCCCUCAGAGAGCCUGCAUGUGUCCCAGCACACUUCAGGUACACCAUGGGAUACAAAUGUGUCCUCAAUAGUAUAAAAAAUACAGCCAGACAAACAGACUUUGACGUAAAAUAUUUGUUCUGCAACACAGAAUGCAUUCAAGUUCUAGAAACAGUCCUAGAACAGCACUCAGGUGGUGUGGAAGAGGAUGCUCCUUUUUCCAGUGUUUGCCAUCCUUGGGUGCUCCUUCCCCUUUACAGUGAAUGGAAAAUUUUCCAUUUUUCACUGCGUAAAAUUUCGUUUCAUAAAAUUUCUGUGUACCAGAGGUACACAGAAAACAAAGUACUUUUCUGCUGGAGACCAGUGUUUUUAUUCACCUAGCUGUGAUAACUUCUGGUGCUUUGGUGCUCUCCCUUUGCACACCCACUGUGGCACCCAGAAAUGCCCCUCAGAGAAGCCACCAGACAAAGGCAGGUCCUUGCAGGAUCCUGUUCCCACCUGUCUCUGAGUGAGGUCUCUCAGGCUUCCUUCAACACGUGCUCCUGUCUCAGAGCAUAGCAGAAGGUUGUUUUAGUAAACAGAAGUUUUGAGGGAUUCAGUACUAGAACAUCACAAUUGAAAUGAGAAUCUGGAAGUCUUGAAUUAAAAUAUUUCCCUGAAGCUGAGCCAAAUAUCACAAUUGCUGAACUUGUUGCAGAAAUUCUAGGAAAUUCCCAGGCUGGCCACCAGUGUGGACUGACACUCCCGUCUGUGGUGUUCUCAGAAAGCUUCAUGAGAAGUAAAUUUGGUAAGUAAACCCUGCUCCUUCCUGCCACAAAAUGAGAUUUCCUUUGCUUCUUACCCUUUUUGAGACUUGGCAUUAUGCCGCAUCCAAGGCAUGCUUCACCAAGACACAGAAUAUGAGUUUCAAUGAACAGAAGGAGCAAAAUCAAAAGGUUUACUGUCACUUUUGUUUCUUCUUUAAGUACUUUGGGGUUACUGUCUGAUUCUUACACAGGAGAAAGACAAAAAGCACCUGUAAGACUCUUGAUGAAGCCACAAAAUUUACUUCAUAUUUGAUUCUACAGAUGGCAUGGGGAUAAGAAGAAAGGUCCUGGGGACAGGUGGGGCUUUAUUCUGUCUGUCCAGCAGAGCAGAAAAGACAGUGGGACAAGAGAAUGACUCUGCUAGGAAGAAUUGGGGGAAACAAUGGAACUCUGAGGGGUGUUUUUGCUGUCAGAGGCUGACAAUGGAUCAGCUUCAUGUUUUGAUAAGGUUUUCUGUCUGUGGAAGACAAUAGCAUUGACUUUUUUCUCAGCCUUCCCAUAUGUGUGCAGGCACAGGCUUGGAACAUCAAGAAUGGAAUGUCAAGAAUCCAGAAAAGCCAUCACACAGAGUUAACAGCGCAUAAUAAAAUUCACAGAUCUUGAAAUAAUCUACAGGUCACAGGAAAAAAAAAAAAAAAAAAAAAAAAGAGAGACAGAACCAAACGAGGCUACGAAAUUUAAAAUGCACUAAACAACAGAAAUGGAUGCAAUUAGUGUCAGUUUGACUAAUCCAGCCCUUGACAGCUUUCCUGCCCCUAAAUGAAGCUGGCAGCACUUCCCACCAAGCCCUUCAUGAAGGCUGUCCCAUGGGAAGAUGUCAGUGCUGGUGGCUGACAGCACAGCACCUGCUCACUGCUCACCUGGAUCCCUGCACCCUCCCAUGCUCAACGAGCCCCUCUCCUCCUCCUUGGCCUCCCAUGCCUUUCAACCUGCAUUCCAAAGCAGGAUUUAAAUGGGCAGCUGCUGGAAAAUAAAGUUUCCUUUAUUUCCAAAUGCUCUUUGUUUUAUGAAUUCACUUGGAGGGCACAGUGGAUGGCAAUUGCAUGUGAUGGAUAUUAAUUUUUGCAGUGUUGCUAAUGAGAAGUUUAUGGUUGGGUUAUUUAAUAGCAUUAACUGCCAUAUAAAAUGUUUAAAGUAAUUUAUGUUGCCACUCAGGGUACAUAAAUGCCUAUUGUCCAUAGGGCAAUCCAUGCUUUAAGCAUCACUGCUUGUUAUUAUGAGUGUUAUAUAUGUUAUUUAUGAGUGGGCACUUAACUUGUAGAAGUUAGGGCAGUUUUCUUGGAACUGUGGUGGGCAAGGCAGGUAAUUUGGUUGCUGUGGUGAUCUGGAGGGGGGCACAAUGACAGCGAUGAUGCCUAGGCUUGGCCUUAAGUCCAACACACAAACACCAGGAAACAGCCUUAAAAAUGCAAGAAAAAGCACCCAGGCAAAGUGAGUAUUUGCCAAAGCACAGGACUCCAACACUGGCACUGCUCGUGGGGCUUACACAGGUCAGGAUUUCUGCCCAUGAGUUUCCCUGCCAGUGCAGUAGGAAGAAGCAGAAACAAAAAGCACUUCUUGGCCAAUGUAGACCUUCAGGAGAAACACAAGAAAUGAAAAUACUGACUCUCUAAACCAUCCGAGGACUUUCCUGGUGACAGAAAUUCCCAGGGGGCUGCAGAACAUCACACAGGUGCUGUGGCAGGAUGAGAACAGUGCUUGUCAAAAUGGGAAAUGGACAGGUGGGACUGGCAGGAUAAAACAGAGCUUUUCUUCAGCUGGGGAGAAGGGAGGAAGAAACCCACCCAUUCCAGAGUGCCAAGCAGAAGGCAAACAGGGAAUGAUCCUUUCCUGCUUCUUCUGGUGAAACAGCACAGGGAACAUCUGCCACUUGCAGGUAGCAAGGACAAGAUGAGCAGAAGAUUAGUCCAGGGAAGAAAAAUCCACCCAAAUUGGAUGAAAAGACAAAGGUAAUUAAUUCCACUGUUCAGCAAGUCCUUCAAUUGUGUAGGGUUUCCCAGAGAAGCAGCCUCUGAUGCUUGCCCUGUUUGGGUUGGAAGGGACCUCAAAUAUCAUCUAGCCCCAACCCCCAGUUGCAGUCCACGCUUUUAAGGAUUUUUACUGGAUAUUUCUGUAACCCUGUACUGGGAGUUACCUGAAACCACCACGAUUGAAAACAGGCAAUUCCAUGUCCAUGUUGGCUGCCAGGAUCAAGGAGCAGGCAGUGAAAAUCUACCACUACCAACACAUCUUGCACUUCCCUCAGAGUGAGAACAGGAACAAAGGCAUCUGUCUGAAAAUAAUAACACUUUAUUUGAUUUUUUUUUUGUCUGUGUGUGUGUGUGUGUUACAUUAUCAUAAAUGUUCUCUAGUCUCAGAAAACAAAGCCCUAAGUUUGGAAAAUAAUGCACAUACAAAUCUCUUCUUACAGGUAUUAAGUAUACAGAAAUAUACAAAGAUUUCUCUAUUACUGUAAUAUAUCAUCAGAAUGCCCCACAUCCCACAUUUUUACUCAGGUCCACUGUACCAGGAAGCGUAAACUACAAAGGUAACAAGCAACCUGAAAAAGACAUGGUUUGUAUAAUAUAAUUACAUUAUAUGUAUGUAUAUAUAGAUAUCUACAACAGUGCAAAUAUAUCACAGCGUGCAGGCAGCGAUAGUCUCUAGAGAAGCAGAAUAAAAUUGAUUCAUAGUAAUGCAAAUGCAUUACAGAAACGAGAGACAACAAUGACAUAUUAGAUAUUCAGAAUAUGCACACUUUAGCACGCUGAUUUAAAAUCAUACCUUGCAUUGACUCUUGCUUUGAAAAACAAAAGAACCGAAUGUUAAAUAAUUCAGUCACAGGUUCAAGGGCAGAAUCUCACAAUAAGGUCAACUGACUCAGAUAAGGUGUUUGAUAAAUCUUUACUGACACAGGUAAAGGCUUGGCUCCACUGCAGGACUUGUUAUCUUCUCCUUUUAAGAUAUAUCAGUGUAAUUGUCUCAAAUUUAAUUUUCUUUUGCCAUAAUUUAAGAGAUUUUUCCCAUUUUUUUUAGUUGCUCAACAACUAAUUCACAUUUGUAAAGGUUGGUAUAAUUAUCACAGAGGCCAGGAAAACUGGUUUCUGGAAGUAACAGAAAGGAGUUUGUAUAAUGAUUACCCUAAAUGGGCCACUAAAAUAAGCUUCAGUGGGGUCAGAAAAAAAGACAUCACAGAUGCCACUGAAAUAGAAAACCCCACCAACCUUUAAAAGCAGAACUUCCAUGCUGGCUUGCAAUUUGCUUAAAAAGACAUUUUUGAAUUUAUUUCCUUCUUGAAAGAGUAAAGCACACCCAGAGAUCCAGCACAUUGGGGCUUUGGUAGCUCCAAGGAGUCUCAAAGUCCCCCCUCCACCUUUUAACAAUUCCCAAGCAGCUCAUUUUCACACCCCACGUGGACAGCAGCCAUGAAUAUCCAGAAAAAAGGGACAAAAGCAAUUGAUAGGCAUGGGCUGAGCUGCAUGGAAGCUCCCAGAAAAAAAAAUAAAAAGGAAAAAAAUAAGAACUAGCAAAAGCUGGAUGUGUCUUGAAGGCACA